Molecule: ribosomal RNA, 253 nt
Filed under: uncultured bacterium
Lineage: Bacteria
Description: partial 16S ribosomal RNA
Rfam family: Bacterial small subunit ribosomal RNA
Source: RNAcentral
UACGUAGGGUGCGAGCGUUAAUCGGAAUUACUGGGCGUAAAGCGUGCGCAGGCGGUGAUGUAAGACCGAUGUGAAAUCCCCGGGCUUAACCUGGGAACUGCAUUGGUGACUGCAUUGCUGGAGUAUGGCAGAGGGGGGUGGAAUUCCACGUGUAGCAGUGAAAUGCGUAGAGAUGUGGAGGAACACCGAUGGCGAAGGCAGCCCCCUGGGCUAACACUGACGCUCAGGCACGAAAGCGUGGGGAGCAAACAGG